GACGAACGCUGGCGGCGUGCUUAACACAUGCAAGUCGAACGGAAAGGCCCCUUUGGGGGUCCUCGAGUGGCGAACGGGUGCGUAACACGUGAGUAACCUGCCCUUGACUUCGGGAUAACUUCAGGAAACUGGGGCUAAUACCGGAUAGGAAUCCUUGCUGCAUGGUGGGGGUUGGAAAGCUUCGGCGGUUUUGGCUGGACUCGCGGCUUAUCAGCUUGUUGGUGGGGUAGUGGCUUACCAAGGCUUUGACGGGUAGCCGGCCUGAGAGGGCGACCGGCCACAUUGGGACUGAGAUGCGGCCCAGACUCCUACGGGAGGCAGCAGUGGGGAAUAUUGCACAAUGGGCGGAAGCCUGAUGCAGCAACGCCGCGUGCGGGAUGACGGCCUUCGGGUUGUAAACCGCUUUCAGCAGGGGCGAAGCUUGUGGUGACGGUACCUGCAGAAGAAGCACCGGCUAACUACGUG
RNAcentral lists this ribosomal RNA (465 nucleotides) under uncultured bacterium. RNAcentral describes it as "partial 16S ribosomal RNA". It matches the Rfam family "Bacterial small subunit ribosomal RNA", at positions 28 to 507 of the family's 1533-position model. The record is from RNAcentral.